Molecule: non-coding RNA, 24 nt
Filed under: Arabidopsis thaliana (thale cress)
Lineage: Eukaryota; Viridiplantae; Streptophyta; Magnoliopsida; Brassicales; Brassicaceae
Source: RNAcentral
ACCGCCCGGUGACUCGAUGCCAGA